CCUACGGGACGCAGCAGUGAGGAAUAUUGGUCAAUGGCCGGAAGGCUGAACCAGCCAAGCCGCGUGAAGGACGAAGGUGCCAAGCAUUGUAAACUUCUUUUGUCAAGGGACAAAAUCAGGCUCGAGAGCCUGACCGAGGGUACUUGAAGAAAAAGCAUCGGCUAACUCCGUGCCAGCAGCCGCGGUAAUACGGAGGAUUCAAGCGUUAUCCGGAUUUAUUGGGUUUAAAGGGUGCGUAGGCGGUCGGAUAAGUUAGAGGUGAAAUCCCGAGGCUCAACUUCGGAAUUGCCUCUGAUACUGUUCGG
RNAcentral lists this ribosomal RNA (305 nucleotides) under uncultured bacterium. Its description in RNAcentral is "bacterial SSU rRNA". It matches the Rfam family "Bacterial small subunit ribosomal RNA", at positions 338 to 640 of the family's 1533-position model. The record is from RNAcentral.